AAUCACCUCUUUAUUACAAUCGAUAGGGGUACAAGGGGAUUACAUCGACACGACGACACUACACCUACCAAGGUUUCUCUAUGCAAGCAGCAGAACAACUCAUAGCAGUGGGAUAGAUUCUAGCAGCGGAACAACGAUGAUGACGAUGGACUCCACUCCGUAGGGACUCUGGCUGGAACAUUUAUCCUAGCUCGCAAACACAAGAUUAUCGGCAAAACAAGCAAGCAGACAAGGCAUGACCUGCAAACUGGCAUGACAUGCUAGGUCAGUACAUUGAAUGUACUUGCAAGCUCACAGCAACCAAAGCAAUCAAGACAAACAACAGCAUGGCAAUUACAGGUUACUUAGCAAGGAUGAACAUGAUACAGCUAGAGGAACAAGGCAUGGACAUGGUGAACAAGAUAGCACUAGAACAAGAACAGAUGAGCAUGGCAUUAGAACAUGAUGAUACUAGCAUGCAACAUGUUAACAAUAUCAUGCACCAACUUACUCUGUUCGGGGUUACCUCGUAACCAUCACAUGAACCACUUACCAUCAUGGUCAUCACACGAUCACCUCAGGAUCAAAUCGAGCUUGGUAUUAACAAUACCGUAGUAAUCAUUGCAUGACCACAAGGAGCUUGAUCUUUACCCUUGAUUAUCGCAUAAUACCAUAAACCUCAACCAUCUUCGGUAUCCUCGAUACCACUGUGAUCCUCUCGCGAUCACAUAAGAAUCAACCACUUCUUUCAUCAUCAAACCGGGGUUCUUAUUAAACAGGUUAUUAUUACUGUUGACCCAUAGUGUGACCUACUACGAACUGGGCCCAUAUCCGCGGGCGCGACUAUUGAUAGAUUAUACCCACUCUCAGAGGUUAGCACACUGUACCCACAACACAGAACCCAUGGCCUCGUGCUCCCAUUCGGGUGGACCAACGGCGUUCCGACAAAACCGAUCUGUUGCCAUGACACUCUCCCGGCCACUCCGACAAACUCCCCUUUGGGCUAAGUCAUGGUGGCCCCGAUGUCACCUCGUGACAUCCAACGGCCACCGUCGUGGCAAAACUAAACAGUCCCAAACGGGGACAACCCGGGUACAACAACAAUGGGCACACAAGGCUUAUGUCCGCCUACCUGAUCAGGGUAGCGCGCGCCCAUAACCUUCCCUAGUUGGAGGCACCGGCGAGAGGCACGACAAUAGACUGCAUUAGGGCCUUCUCAUAAAGGCAAAUGCGACUGCACUGGUCAGUUCAAUUUCGAUGGCACUAUGACUCAGCUAACAGGUGUUCAAGUUUAAUAAAUGUCCGGUUAAACUUGAAUGCGAAAGAUGCUGAGUCAUAAUAUGACAAAAUAAUAAUGCACAUGAGCAUGAUAUUAACAUAAGCAUGGAGGAGCAACAUAACCAUAUGAAUCACUAGCAUCAAUACUAAUGCAACACUUAGACUACUAAAUGCAGAUGAACAUGGCAUCAUGAUCAUAUAUAACACAUGUACUUUCAUAACAAAUGUAAUAAUGCAUCGAAGAAGAUCACUAUCACCAGCAUGUACUACCAACCAACAUGACAUAAGAGAAUAAUACCAGCAAGUAGCACAUACUAACAAGGUGCAUAAGGGCAUAACAUGAAGAUGAACAUGGAUCCACAAGCACAACCGAAACAACAAUAGCAAUAGUUAAAGGAGCAAACAUUUAUUAAAUAUUCAAGUGGAAACCAUGGCUACUGCAAAUCCAUCAUGCAAGUGACUGUCGUGGCUUGCCUGGGGAUGAAGGAACCCUCGGGGAGAAGUGCGGAAGGAUCGCAGAAAGAUUCGCUAGAAAUAGUUCUCUCCCGGAGGGGGCUGUUUAUGGGCAAGGGAAAAAUGGUCAUUUUCACUGUAUGGAAACAUUGUGAAAAUGAUACCAACAGAACGGGCUCGACGAGAUGAAUAUGUGGGCUUUGGAAUCACCUCAAUCGGAGCUACGAUCGCGAAGAUACGAGGUGUGGAAGUAUAGGGGCCAAUCUGUGAAAAAUCUUCUACAAACAAGUCCCUGGUGGAGUAAAACAGAAACGCAUUUCUCAGAUUACGUUUUCAGAAAGUGAAAACGUAUUGUAAGCCGAAGGAGAAGAGGAAUGCGUUUUCUUCAAAGGAAAGCGUAUUUCAGGAAUACGCCUGCACUGAAAACGGUCAGCGGGGCCACUGGGUCAAAGGGUGUGUCACUUACAGGUGGGGCCGGCUGGUCCUUUCUUCCUCCUCGCGCGCCCGUCUUCUUUCUCCCGACGUCCAGAGCAGAGGAGCAGGGAGGGGG
Molecule: long non-coding RNA, 2260 nt
Filed under: Triticum aestivum (bread wheat)
Lineage: Eukaryota; Viridiplantae; Streptophyta; Magnoliopsida; Poales; Poaceae
Description: long non-coding RNA (TAES_LNC000049)
Source: RNAcentral